AAUCAACGCUGGCGGCGUGCCUCAGACAUGCAAGUCGAACGAUUAAACUUUCCUUCGGGAAAGAUAUAAAGUGGCGCACGGGUGAGUAACACGUAAGUAAUCUACCUUCGAGUGGGGAAUAACAUCGGGAAACCGAUGCUAAUACCGCAUAAUGCAGCGGCACCUUAUGGUGACAGUUGUUAAAGGAGCAAUUCGCUUGAAGAGGAGCUUGCGGCAGAUUAGCUAGNGGUAAGGUAACGGCUUACCAAGGCUACGAUCUGUAACCGGUCUAAGAGGACGGUCGGUCACACUGACACUGAAUAACGGGUCAGACUCCUACGGGAGGCAGCAGUCGGGAA
RNAcentral lists this ribosomal RNA (338 nucleotides) under uncultured bacterium. Its description in RNAcentral is "bacterial SSU rRNA". It matches the Rfam family "Bacterial small subunit ribosomal RNA", at positions 32 to 361 of the family's 1533-position model. The record is from RNAcentral.